UUUCAUUCAAUACUUAGUGCUAGUGAUGCUCCCUCCGUCUCCAUGGCAUGCUGGUUGCAAAUACUUUUAUCUCAGUGAGGAAAGCAGGCUGCAGAAAGCAUAUGAUCACAAGGGUGGAGUGAGCGAGCGGCUGCGUGGUGCUUGGUUGCUGACUGGGGCUAAACCACGACAUGUACUCAGUUCACAAAAAUGGUGAAGAACCUUUCAAGAGUCAAAAUGAAACUAGAUCAGGACUCUGCAAGUCUGAAAGGAAGAUCCUGAGAGACGACCAAAAGACAAGGUUGUUACACCCAGAUCUCACCAUGACACAGAUGGAAAUUUAAAGCUUUAAGUCUUUUCCACAUUCAUUUAUUUUCUAUUUUCAGGAGGCAUUUACUCAAGUGUUUAGCACACAUUUGCACUUUGCUUCUAAAACCAUGCAAGAUUGUUCAAUAAUGUGUGAGAAGCACUGGAAAAUAUUCUCAAACAAAACAUGGAUCUAUUUACAGGAACAGUCUAAAUUAAUCUAUUCCAAGACUAGUUAGAAAGUUUCCUAAUUGUGGCUGAAAUGCAAGUAAACGCUAUCAUGAUUAAUUCCACUGAGAAAGAAAACACCAAAAACUGCUUGCUCAGGAAGUUGCUAAACAUGCUAUAAAGUGAUGUGACUACUCACAGAAGUCAGGAUCUGCCCUCAAAAAUUCUAGGAACAUAGGACACUAAAUUUAGUAGCUGGUUAUACUGCUUGAGGUGAAACCACAAGAAAGGUAUCUCAGAGCUCAGGUGUAUAUCGGCUUUUCCAGUUCUUGUUUCAGGCUUCAGUGUCCAUGUUGGAACAUUUUAUUCCAAAAGCACAGACAAAUUAUCUACACAUUGAAAAACUAAGCCCCCACAGGUGGUCACAUCACCCACCCCUUUCACAGUAAGUAUGCGCAUCUUUAGUGAGGUAAAUGACAAAUUAAUCUGUUAGCACUGCUAGAACAGAAUUCUCUCAGAAGAAAAAGUUAUUUAACUGACUCCUACGCCAAACCUGUGCUGUUGCCCAUUACUUGUGACUGACUAUUCAAGACUUGGCUGAACAGCAGUACUGACUGGGCUGCAAACUAGUUACCUGCACAGCACCAUGAUGCAAUUCAAGCACUGGUGGCAAUUACUUUCACAGACAGAGUAUACUUUGUGUAAGGGUCACUAGUUUUACUAAGCAUAGAGUUGGCAGAGUUAGUCUCUAUGAAAAGCUCUUAACUUUAUCAUCAUCAGGAGAGCCACUUGCCUUCAGCAGCAAAUACAUCCAUGUAGAGAUUCUGCUUUAGCCUCAGUGUACUCUAGUUUCCAUCCAAUAUUCUUCUUUGGGAUUAUCCUUGAUACCCAGACAUGACAGGAUCUUUGUUUCCUGUUUCUUGCACAUACUACUACCAAUAAUUAGUUGUAGACAGAAACAUAUUUUUAAAGAAAGACAGGGUUAUUUUUAAAAACAAAAAUCACUUGGGAAAACAUGCUGCUGAUCCAAGCCAUCCCUACUUGUCAUUAUGCCAAGAACUGUAAAGAUGGACAGUGAAAGCAAUCAACUGCACUGCUCAUCCUCUUCCUCUACAACAUCAAGCUGGUUGUCACCUACUCUGGGAUCUAGGCAUGCCCCAGGCUGGGAUGACCGAUGUAUAGUUGCCAGCUCUCCCAGAGAGCAGUAUAACUGCCCCCUCUGUUCUGGCAGACACUUCGCAAUGGGAGACAUCUCAGUACGCUUCUGGAACAGGGGGGACUCCUGAACUUAGAUGAUGCCACCAAUAAGCACAGCAACAGCUGCUGUCUGCUCUGCUGUUUGGGUACCAUUCGUGCUGUACCGUGCUGUUUGGUAACCUCAGCAGUGAAACACAGAGCUCCACUGCUGGACAGUGCUUGGGGAGGAACAACAGUGCAGGGUAAGCAGUGAAGAAGCAAAUUCUCCACAGUUUUCAAAAAGCAUCAAAAGGGAACUGUUCCUGCCUGCAUGCAAAAUCAGAAACUGAAAAUUUGUUUUUUAAUUGAGAACAACAGGUAUGGGUUAGGGUCCUGCUCCAGACUCGCGGACACAAAAGAGGUGCUGGAAAGCCUUUGGAAGUUAAUGUAAUGAACAGAACUGCAAAAAGGAAAGAUACAAGAAAGAGCAGCUGCACCAUGUACCAAGUUGAGCACAUUUGAACAGGACAGCAGGAAGAUCUGUGUAAAAAAAAAAUUUAAAAAAGGAAAUCAAUCUUCUGUCCAAAAGUUGUAUUUACUGUAGAUAGCUCUGCAGUCACAGAGACAGUAGACUGGCAAACUGCAUGAAACUGUCUUCCCAUAGAUACAAGAUGAACCAACUUUGUUACAGUCUUAUACAGGGACAGUCAAACUGUGGCUCUGUUACAGCUUGAAUUAAUCUAAAUCCUUCCCUCUUUGGGAUUAACUUUCAUCAAAAUCAACUCCAGGCGCUGGCACUUGGUUGCAUGAGUGCCACUGCUAGUGAAGGAAAAAGAGUGUGUGUGCACACAUGUGCACAAGCGUGCAUGUGUGUGUAAAGGGAGGCAGGAACAUAGAAUAAAGGUUGCGGGGACAGGGCAGUGAUGGUUUAGAUUUGCUUAAAAUGCCAUGAAUCCUUAGAAUGAUGACAAAGGUUUUUAAUCAAGAAAUAAACAAAGCUCAAAGCUCACAUCCCAAGUGAAGAGCAUAAAUAGAGCAGAGAAUUAAUUUACCAAAUACAACAAACCAUAGAA
Phalacrocorax carbo (great cormorant) is the source of this 2702-nucleotide non-coding RNA. The record is from RefSeq and is a predicted model, not a curated record. NCBI's taxonomy places the organism in Eukaryota, Metazoa, Chordata, Aves, Suliformes, Phalacrocoracidae.